UCAAACUUGGUCAUUUAGAGGAAGUAAAAGUCGUAACAAGGUUUCCGUAGGUGAACCUGCGGAAGGAUCAUUAUUGAAUAAAUUUAGAGUCUGGCAGUUGCUGGCCCAGCACCCCUGGGCACUUGUGCACGCCAUUCUCUUUCAUCCACACACACCUGUGCACUUGUGAGACGGAGGGACAAUUUUAAUUCAAUUUAAUUUUGGCCUUCUGUCUACUGUAAUACAAAAUCUCAUUUAAUUUAAACUGAAUGUAAUUGAUGUAACACAUCAUUUGAACUAAGUUUCAACAACGGAUCUCUUGGCUCUCGCAUCGAUGAAGAACGCAGC
Molecule: unclassified non-coding RNA, 327 nt
Filed under: uncultured fungus
Lineage: Eukaryota; Fungi
Description: partial contains small subunit ribosomal RNA, internal transcribed spacer 1, and 5.8S ribosomal RNA
Rfam family: Eukaryotic small subunit ribosomal RNA (bases 1-73)
Source: RNAcentral